AUCCUUUUUCGGUGUUUUAACUAAGAUCAAGGGUAGUAUUUGUUCUUAUCAUUAUCAGUUUAACGUCUGAUACAUUCUAUAUCUGAGGAAAGUAAGGUGGAUUUUUGGAGCAGGGAGAUGGCAUAGAAGUUUGUCGUGUCCAUUGCAGGUAUCGGCAAGAAUGGUGUACUUUCUCGAGGGAUACAAUGUCU
This 191-nucleotide small nuclear RNA is filed under the name Mandrillus leucophaeus (drill). Its description in RNAcentral is "U2 spliceosomal RNA (ENSMLEG00000020997.1)". It matches the Rfam family "U2 spliceosomal RNA". From Rfam's summary of the family: U2 is a small nuclear RNA (snRNA) component of the spliceosome (involved in pre-mRNA splicing). Complementary binding between U2 snRNA (in an area lying towards the 5' end but 3' to hairpin I) and the branchpoint sequence (BPS) of the intron results the bulging out of an unpaired adenosine, on the BPS, which initiates a nucleophilic attack at the intronic 5' splice site, thus starting the first of two transesterification reactions that mediate splicing. Lineage: Eukaryota; Metazoa; Chordata; Mammalia; Primates; Cercopithecidae. The record is from Rfam by way of RNAcentral.